Molecule: long non-coding RNA, 10354 nt
Filed under: Gossypium barbadense (sea-island cotton)
Lineage: Eukaryota; Viridiplantae; Streptophyta; Magnoliopsida; Malvales; Malvaceae
Description: long non-coding RNA (GBAR_LNC014030)
Source: RNAcentral
UUUGUUAACAUUCCAAUUGUCUUAAUCAUCACAACUGUACAUGUUGACUAACAAUCUUCAUCAUCACCAAGUAAUUACUCCAAAAUUUGUCUAAACUAAUAUUAAAAACAUUCUAUACAUUCAAGACCCAUUCUAAGCAAUAAACUCCUUGGAAGUGAUCAUGGCUUGCAAGUGACUCUUAUAAUCAUGCAAAUUCUUCAUUAAUAAAAUUAAUAGCAAAACAUUUCUCACUAGGACAACAAUUAACCCAAAAUCCAUUUGUGAUUGUCGAAACCAUUUUUUAUUGAAUUUGAACAACGGGAAUUGACUUUGAAAAUAGAGUCGCCACCAAUCUUUUAUUGAGGUGUGAUCAAAUCACCUUAAAAAUGAUUUUUGGUCUACGAAUUUUGAGAAAACAAGUCCGGAAGUCGGUUACGCACGAGGAAGUGUUAGCACCCUCGUGACGCCUAAAAUUGGUACCGAAUUGAUUGUUUAAUGUCUUAGUGUCGAAACUUGAAAAGAUUUUUAAAUACGAUCCCAUGAAAUGAAAACUUAAAUAAUUGAAUUGGCUAAAUAGACGGGGACCCAUUUCAAAUAAAUAAACUGUCACACUCAGUUAGUUAGAGUACAAUAGUUCAAUCUUCGAAGUUAGAUUUGUCCUUUUUUAAUUUUUUUUAAAAACCAUAUUGUAGAGCCCAAAUAUGCCCGGGCCCAAUAAAAUUAAAACCCAAGACCCAAACAUCAAGCCCAAAAAUACCAACAGCCCAGCAAGCCCAAAGCUUAACAAAAUUUCAGCCAAAUCAAAAAUCAAAACCCUAGCCGCAUAGCAGCCACCAGCAAGACCCCAGCCGUCGCACGUCUCGGGACUGGCCUCCUCCAUGCGCGCCGUUUUCCCCCACGUUCGCCUGCAAAACGGACUCAAGGAGUCCCAUAGAGAGGAAACAGUAAAGAAUAAUAGCAAAAUCGGGACAACAGUUUGAUUUUUUUUGGCUAUAUAAAGGCUGAUUCUUAUUGUAAAAAUGGGGGGAGGGAAACUUUUGUUUUUUCAGUGUGAGAGAUAUACAAGAAAUAAAAAGAAAUACUGAGGAAAAAAUUUCUUGAAGGUGAAUUGGGUUUUUACAUUUUCUAUUCUGUUUAUUAUUAUUUUAUUUUGUUUUCUAAAGAAACGGUACAAAAGAGGAAAGGGAUAAUACCUUCGAGGAUUGGCCGUUGAACCACGUUCGCCUUGCUCAGAUCGGAGUUUGGCGGUGCGCUGGGAAUUGGCUCGCCUGAGAAUGGCGGCAGUGGGGGUUGGGGGUUAAAAGAAACCCUAGCAAAGAACUUUUUUUUUCUCUGCUGCAAAUGCUCUGUUUUUUUUAGAAAAAAAACUGCUUUAAGUAAAGACACCGAAACGGUGUCGUUCGGCUGAGGCAGGCCCGCGCGGUGACCCGACCCGGAGGGGAGGAUCCGCGCGUCUUGGGCCUAGAUGGUACAUUUCGCGUUUGGUCCCUGAGUUUUUAAAAGUGUGUUUAAAUCAAUUUCUUUGUUUCUCUUAAAUUUGGCCACGCGCUUUAUUUCCGUUUCAUUUGGAUCCCCAUUGAAACGCAACAUUUUAGGGAAAAGGGUUAAUAUCCCAUUUGAUCCCCCUCUGUUCUGUGCGUGUUCAAUAGGGUUCCUAUAUUUGUAUUUAUUCCAAAUUUGCUCUUAAAUUUUCUUGAGUUUCAAAUUAGUCAUUCUGUUAUUAUUAUUAUUAUUAUUAUUAUUAUUAUUAUUAUUAUCAACAUGUAUAUUUUUAAAUGCCCAGCCUCAUUAUAUGUACAUGUAUGCAUUUUUAAUAUAUAUAUAUUUUUUAAGUUUUAUACGCAGGCAUAUAUUUCGUUCUUACAUUUUCAAAAUUUCUUUUGUAUAGUUUUUUUUUGUUUCUUUUUUUUGUUUCAUAUGUUUUAUAUGUUAUACAUACUUACACAUUUCUUUAUUUUGUAAAUAUAGAUAUACAUAACUUUAUAUAUAUAUUUUUCACAUGUACAUAUUAUAUUUUAUUUGUUAUUAUUUUAUUUUCACCAUUCUCAUAUCUUAUAAUGCAUAUACAUUUUAUAAUUUAAAGUUCACAUAUAUUUUCUAUAAUAUAUUUACGUAUACGUUUUUCCUUUAAAAUCAUUAAAUAUUUUAUUGUUUCUAUAAUCUGCUAUUUUAUGUACAUAUACAUGUAAUUUUUGUAAAAUAAACAUACAUAUUUUCUUAGAAGUUAUUAUGGGUUUUACAUAUUUCAUUGUUUUUAUAAGUAUACCUAUAUGUAAGUGUUCUAUUAUGCAUACACGUAUUUCCAAAUUUACUUACAUGUUGUACGUAUUUAUGUAUAUAUACAUUUGUUGUAUAUAUAUAUAUAUAUUUAGCUCAUGUUAAAGUAUUUGUUUUAUGAGGUAUAUUAACUUUUUUAUCAUUUUUUCUAAAAAAGGGAAAAUAUAUUUGGUUUUGUCAAUACAUCAAAAUUAUUUUCUCUCGAUUCAAAGUUUUUUUUGAAUAAAAGCAUUAUUCGAAGUUUGGGGUUUUCAAGGGAAAUUGAGCCCUAACGUAUUGAGUUUUGAUUUUCUUUGUUAAUCUUAAAUAACCGAAGAUAUUCUUUAUUCAAAAUGCAUAAGCAUAAAAAUCAUUUUUGGGAACUUAACCUGUUGUGCCCUAACGUAUUGGGUGUGGCAUGUUACUUUCUCAAAGUGAAGAUUUUCGUAUAAAAUAAAAGUGAUAUUCAAGUUUGGGGAUUAUGAGGAAUUGUACCCUAACGUAUUGGGACUCGAUUUCUUUACAUGACUUGAACAAUUGAUUAUCCUUUUGUCAAUUUCACCAUUCAAGCUUAUUUUAAUAUCUUUUUUAACUUUCGACACAAAGACAUUAAAUAGUCAAUUUGGUACCGAUUUUUGGGUGUUACGAGGGUGCUAACCCUUCCUCGUGCGUAACUGACUCCCGAACCUGUUUUUAAAAUUCGCAGACCAAAAUGAUUUUUGAGGUGGGCCGGUCACACCUUAAUAAAUGAUCGGUGGCGACUCCAGUUUUAUUUUUUAACGUCGACAACUUAAAUUUUUGUUUUCAAAAAAACGGUUUCGACAGCUUGGCGACUCACUGGGGACAUUUGAGAGUCGAGCCAUAAACUGAUUAUAUUUGCCUUUGUGUCGAAAAUCAAAAGUUUUAAAAAAUUCAUGAGUUCCCUUCGCAUUUAUUGUUUUUUUUUUCAUGUUGGUAUGUUGGUAGUUUUGCAUUUGCAUUUUGCAUUUUACCCUUUAAGUGGGAGCGAGAAACUAGUCCUUCGUGAGGUUUUCACCUCCGUGCAGGGUAGUGGACCGCUUCCGGGAUACAUCCGUACCUAUGUCUUCGUGAGAUUUUCAUCUCCGUACAGCCAUAGGGAAAUGUAUUCCCCUGAACUGAACUCGAUUCAUAUGAGCCUAUAAUGGGUGAUGAUCGAGGAAUCUGCUGGUUCGGGUACCUUUACCUUAGUAGCCAAACCGCAUAUAGUGAACCUUAGGAACUUACCCUAGGUAGAAUUACUCUAAACCUUAGUAGAUACCUGACUAGGAGUUUUUAUUAUUUCUUGAUUGUAUUGGAUUUAAUGUUUAUACCCGAUACUAACCCGUUUUGUUUUGUUUUGGUUAUGAUUGCAUUGCAUUUGCAUUGUAGAAAAGAGAUGUUGAUUCAAGUUUGAUUACUAAUUUAGAAAGCCUAUCAUAAGAAAACAGGUUUCUUGAUAAAAUGGAAAAUAGUACGGCAGCCUGAAUAUAUUCCAAGAAAUACAAGAAGGGCGAUGGAAGAAUUCGUGACUUUACUUUAGGGCCCGAGGAUUCAAGAUGAUUUGUCUAAGAGCUUUCAACAUUCCAAAUUUCUUAAAGAAGCUAAUGAGCAUUACGGGGAUAGGUAGACAACGGAUUGCGACCAGAAUCAAGCAGAAGGAGCUAGCAGUGACAUCCAUUGGAAGUUCGCGAGGUUUAUCUUAACAUCCGGAUGAAAAAGGAGAAGAUAUCUUUGUUUCGAGUAUGAGGGAAAAGCCGUAUAUAUAUCCGCUUUAUGUAAAGAAAUUUGUCCUCUAGUAAGGUUUUCUAAAUGGAAUUGAAUCAGAAUCAACGUCUCUUUAUGCAUUCAUUUCAUGCAUUCGCAUUUCAUUACAUCAUAUGCAUCAAAGAUUAUUCAAAGAUACUAAUUAACUAAAAUCAUUGCUCAGUUAACCUGGAAUCCAACCAACCAACCCAACACCGAUACGGCACUCGAGCAAAGACAAAAGAUAUGGAUCAGAGAUUAGAAAAGCUCAAACAGUACCAGAAGGAGAUGCAAGAUCGGCUUCAGCUACAAAUGCAGGAGCGGCUAGACAAGAUGAAACAAGAGAUGUCUGAGAAGAUGCGAGAAUCCCAAGAAGAUAUAGUGGCAAAGUUAACCCGACUGAUAACUAAGGGAGGUGACAAAGGAAAGGGCCCCAUGGCAGAUGUCGAUGAAGGAAAUGAUGAUGAACUUUUCUAUCCUCCAGGUUUCACCCCUCCACAUGAGCGAGCUCAAGCUGAAUACCCACGCAAAUCAACUGUCACCAUCAUGCCUCAGCAAUUUCGAACUGGUGUUUCGAACCUCCAAACUGGGCUGGGUUUUAAUCUCGAAAAUAACCCCGUGAACCCCGCCAUUCCGGACUUUGACGAAGUGGCUGAGAAGGAAAGAAUAAAGGUGGAAUUACCGAAACAGUUAGAGGAUCGAUGCAAGUGGCUCGAGGAGAAGUUCAAAGCGAUGGAAGUCACUGAAAGUUAUCGAGGCAUUGAUGCAAAAGAGCUGAGUUUAGUGCCAGAUCUUGUUCUCCCUCAUAAGUUUAAGAUGCCUGAAUUCGAGAAGUACAAUGGGACGACUUGCCCAGAGGAUCAUAUCACCAUGUUCUGCAGGUGAAUGGCUGGAUACGUUAAUAAUGACCAGCUAUUAAUACAUUGCUUCCAAGACAGCCUUGCAGGGGCAGCAUCCAAGUGGUACAAUCAGUUGAGUCGAGCUACGAUUGGUUCAUGGAGGGACUUGGCGCAAGUAUUCAUGAAACAAUAUAGUCAUGUGACAGACAUGGCUCCUGAUAGAAUCACCCUUCAAAACAUGGAGAAGAAGCCGAGCGAAAGCUUUAGGCAGUACGCACAGAGAUGGAGGGAGGUCGCGGUCCAAGUUCAGCCGCCGCUCUUGGAAAAGGAAAUGACUAUGUUGUUUAUUAACACACUAAAAGCCCCAUUCAUUACGCAUAUGUUAGGAAAUGCUACAAAAAGCUUUCCUGACAUAAUUAUGAAUGGUGAAAUGAUCGAAAAUGCGAUAAGAAGUGGGAAAAUUGAUAUAGAGGAGAGUAACAAGAGGUAAGUCUCAAAAAGAAGAGAAAAUGAGGUGAACAACACGGGUUACUCUAAAUCAGUUACUGUUCAGCCAAGAAAGGUGGUUGGUAAUCAACAAAAUCCAUCGAGGCAAGAUUCCGGCAUAAAGACUGAAAAAUUCCAGUUUACACCAAUCCCAGUACCGUAUAAGGAACUGUAUCAAAAUUUGUUUGAUGCACAUGUUGUUUCCCCUUUUCAUGUGAAGCCUCUACAACCUCCGUAUCCCGAAUGGUAUGAUGCGAACACACAAUGUGACUACCACGCGGGAAUUACGGGACACUCGAUUGAGAAUUGCACUGCCUUCAAGAAGCAAGUUGAAAGACUUAUCAACAUGGGUAUUAUCAAGUUUGGUGACUCAUCUAACGCAGGAAAUCCGCUACCCAAUCAUGAUUGAGGAUGGAGGGACUGCAAUAUAUGAAGAAGUGGUGAGAAAUUUGCACAUCGAUGCCAUAUAUGCAGACACAAUUUAAAGGGUCAUUGUUAGAUAUUUUCCUUAGAGGUGUUCUAAAUAAUGAGACUGCGGAGGAAACCCCUGAAGUAUUUAGAGUCUGUUAGAGUAAUGUUCAGAACACACUUGUUGCUUUCAGCCUAGAAGCAAUAAGGAUUUCUUUGUGAAAUAAGCUCACGUCUGAACAUUAUUAUUUUAAUGAAAUACAUUAUUGCAAUCAUCUUUGAGCAAAUGUUCUUUCAUUCUUUACAUUUUUUUCAUUUUUUUUGGAUUUUUUCUGCCAAACCAUUCAUUCAUAUUAUUCAUACAUUCUUUUGUAUAUUCACGGAUACCUGCUAUGGGUCCCCAGAUAUCAAUGUCAUGAGUAAUGCUGCUACAGACUCAAAAUUUCCUUUUGAGUGAGACAUGUGUUUAGAGGGGUCUCAUGACUUUGAAGAUAACAUAGAUUGUAGCUUAUCUCCAGACUUGAGGAGGGUGAUAGAAUAAGAGGAUAGACAGAUCCUACAUCACAAUGAAUUAUCAGAAAUUGUGAGCUUGGUGAAGAUUGGAAUUGACAUGAUCACAAAGACGAGGCGGGACCUUAUAGAGCUACCACAAGAAUUCAAUGAUGUCUUCACAUGGUCUUACCUAGAUAUGCUCGGGUUAAGCACUAGCUUGUAAUCUGAAUAACAGCAUGAUGUUAGAAAUGGGCAGUAGGUUCAACAUCGAUGCUAUGAACGAUGUAGUAAACUUUCUUUGCUCGGGCAAUAUCCUCCUAUUUGGCUUAUCAUAGCUUUACUCAUUGAAGUCGAAUUGUCAUUUCUCUACAUUUUAUCCUAAGAGGAAGACCCGAAGGUCCGUCCCAAAGAAUUUGACAAGAGGGAACUAAUGUUGAAAAAGAUCCUUCCUAUACAAAAGGAUUUUAGAGGAAGAUAGAGGCCAAAUUAGAAGGGUCUAUAUGUUAUAAAGAAAGCCUUUUUUGGAGAAGCUUUGAUCUUGAGUGAGAUGGAUGGUAAAAAUUUACAAAGUCCUGUAAACUCAGAUUCAGUCAGGAAAUACUCUGCUUAAAAAAGGUGGGACCAAGGUGAAAGCCUACAAAGGGCGCUUUGAGUCAAAAAAAAAAGAGACCAGGGUGAAACCCUACAAAAGGAGCCUUGAGUAAAAAAAAAGGAGAGGCUAAUGUGAAAACUCGCAAAGGGCGCCUUAGACCAAAGGGGAUUUGAGUUGAAAACCCGAAAAAGGGCAGCUCAAAUGUUGAUCAGAAUGGGGCAUGAAGUAAUCAGAGCAGCUCAAAUACUGAUCAGAAUGGGAUAUACAGUGGUCUUGCUAUACCAGAAUCAGCAGGAAAGGGUAUGCGACAUCUUGGGGCAUCGAUAGAGUAUGAUAGAUCUCCUAAACACAUGUUAAGCUCAAAAUCGUCUUCAGAAAGUUUGUACAGAGAAGUUCAAGCUGCGAUGUCUGGGGCACCUAAUCUUUAUACCGUUUUUGCUAUUUUUGGAACACUUCAUUCAUUGCCAAGAUACACAUUCCUAAAUCAAUUUCUUUGUUAUCCAUCUUUAUUGUCCUUGAUAAUUUAUUCAUUUCGAGCUAUGCUCAGAGCCAACUCUAUUCUUAUCCAUGAUCUUUUUGCAAGCAUGUUGCAUUAGAAUAAUGGUUAAUAGACUAAUAAAACUUUCACAAGGGAAGUUUUGCAUAUUACUCUAGAAGUUUCUAAAUAAUGCAGGAACCUGAAACAGGACUAUUGUUUAGAAUGCACCAGGUUGGAAAUCUAAUAAGGAAAUGUCUAAAUUCAGACUAUCCCUUUAAAUUUUGUUACCUAAAACAUCGAUUGGACAAAAUGGCAAUGUGUCAUGUUGGUGACAAGGCUUCAAUGAACAAGCAGGCAAUGAUCACCGAAUAACAAGAAGAAGUUGUUCUUGGAGAGGAAUAUUCUUCAUUUGUGCAUGAGAAUUUGGUAUGACACCCUGGGAAUGGUGUAAGGGACCAAAGAGUUUCAUAUCCUGUAUCCUUGAAUUGUGAUAGUAGAGGAUUGAGAAAAGACCAAAUCUUUUUACUCUUGGGUUACAACGGGAGAAAGAUGGUAUAAAUUUUGCAUCCCAAUGGAUCAAACUUGGAGGUUUACAGUGGGGGGCAAUCUGGUCAAGAGUUUCUUUUGAGACGCCAGCUGAGCAAGAGGGUGCUAUAGCACAUUAGCGAUGAAACUUUAAAUAAACUUUGAGUAAUGAUAACCUAAGUGAAAAUGAGGGAUCAUUCUCGAAAAAAUGACAUUCUGCAUUCAUUCAAAUGUCAUUCAUACACGCCUAGUUAGGAGCAUUUGAUUCAUUUGAUCAUGACAUCCUAAUCAUUUGGCAUAGUUAGGUUCAUAAAGUGAAUUAUACAGGUCAUGUUCCCCAGAGAACAGAUCGGUGAAAUCAUAAAGCCUUAUCUUCCUGAACAACAGUGGAGCAGGUUGAAAAGCAGCAGAUCUUGUCUUCAUGUACUGGCGUGAAGUAGAUCAAAGAUAACAGAUCUCGCCUUCCCAUGCUGGUGGCGAAGCAGAUCGAAGGAAUACAGAUCUUGUCUUCAUGUACUGGCGUGAAGUAGAUCAAAUAUACAGAUCUCGCAUUCCCAUACUGGUGGCGAAGCAGAUCGAAAAAAAGUAGAUAUUGUCUUCAUGUAUCAGCGUGAAGUAGAUCAAAGUCAACAGAUCUUGUCUCCCCAUACUGGUGGUGGAGUAGAUAAAAGAAAGCAAAUCUUGUCUUCAUGUAUCGGCGUGAAGUAGAUCAAAGUCAACAGAUCUUGUCUUCCCAUAUUGGUGGCGUAGCAGAUCAAAGAAAGCAGAUCUUGUCUUCAUGUACUGGCGUGAAGUAGAUCAAAGAAACAGAUCUUGUCUCCCCAUACUGGUGGUGGAGUAGGUUGAAGAAAAUAGAUCGUGUCUUCAUGUACUGGCGUGAAAGAGAUCAAAGAUAGUAGGUCAUGUCUUCCUAUAUUGGUAGCGAAGUGGAUCGAAUAUACAUAUUUUAUCUUCCCAUACCGGCGGCGAAGUAGAUUGAAGAUUACAGAUCUUGCCUCCCUAAGCAGUAGUGAAGCAGAUCGAAGAUGGCGGAUUUUACCUCCCUGAAGUUGCAGUGGAGUAUAUUGAAGCCAGUAAUUCUACCUCCCCGGUCGGCAGUGGAAUCGAUUGAAAAAGCAGAUCCCGUCUUCAUGUACUGGCAUGAAGGAGAUCAAAGUUAGUAGGUCCUGUCUUCCUGUAUUGGUAGCAAAGUGGAUCAAAUAUACAUAUUUUAUCUUCCCAUACCGGCGGCGAAGUAGAUUGAAGAUUACAGAUCUUGCCUCCCUAAGCAGUAGUGGAGCAGAUCGAAGAUGGCGGAUUUUACCUCCCUGAAGUUACAGUGGAGUAUAUUGAAGCCAGCAAUUCUACCUCCCCGGUCGGCAGUGGAAUCGAUUGAAAAAGCAGAUCUUGUCUUCAUGUAUUGGCGUGAAGUAUAUCGAAGAAAGCAGAUAUUGUCUUCCCAUACUGGUGGUGAACUAUUUGAAGCUACAAGUCUUACCUCCCUGAAGUUGCAGUGGAGCAGACAAAAGUAACCAAUCCUAUCUCCUUGAAGUUGCGAUGGAGUGGAUUAAAACCGCAGAUCUCAUCUCUCUGAAGUUGCAGUAGAGCAGAUCGCGUCAGAUUUACCCUUAAGUUGUAGCUGAACAAAUUAAAGCUACAGGUCUUAUCUCCCUGAAGUUGCAGUGGAGCAGAUUAAAGUUAGCAAAUUUAGUUCUUUUGAGAAGCUACAACAUACGAAUCCUAUCUCCCUAACAUACAUUGCAGUGGAGUAGAUUGAAGCACCAGUUCUUAUACCUCUGAAGAUGCAGUAGGAGGGAAUGAGACUAUUUGAAGUAAAAAAGUACUAAAGAAGUCGAGCCUCAAUAAGGCCGGGCACAAUUGGCUUUUAGUCUUUACUCUGUUCCCGUUACACGACAACGAGCAAAGAGGGGCAGCUGUAGAGCCCAAAUAUGCCCGGGCCCAAUAAAAUUAAAACCCAAGAUCCAAACAUCAGGCCCAAAAAUACCAACAGCCCAGCAAGCCCAAAGCUUAACAAAAUUUCAGCCAAAUCAAAAAUCAAAACCCUAGCCGCAUAGCAGCCACCAGCAAGACCCCAGCCAUCGCACGUCUUGGGACUGACCUCCUCUAUGCGCGCCGUUUUCCCCCACGUUCGCCUAUAAAACGGACUCAAGGAGUCCCAUAGAGAGAAAACAGUAAAGAAUAAUAGCAAAAUCGGGAUAAAAGUUUGAUUUUUUUUUGCUAUAUAAAGGCUGAUUCUUAUUGUAAAAAUGGGGGGAUGGAAAUUUUUGUUUUUUCAGUGUGAGAGAUAUACAAGAAAUAAAAAGAAAUAAUGAGGAAAAAAUUUCUUGAAGGUGAAUUGGGUUUUUACAUUUUCUAUUCUGUUUAUUAUUAUUUUAUUUUGUUUUCUAAAGAAACAGUACAAAAGAGAAGAGGGAUAAUACCUUCGAGGAUUGGCCGUUGAACCACGUUCACCUUGCUCAGAUCGGAGUUUGGCGGUGCGCUGGGAAUUGGCUCGCCUGAGAAUGGCGGCAGUGGGGGUUGGGGGUUAAAAAAACCCUAGCAAAGAACUUUUUUUUC